Non-coding RNA from Podarcis lilfordi (Lilford's wall lizard), 75 nucleotides. The record is from the annotation of a GenBank genome assembly. Lineage: Eukaryota; Metazoa; Chordata; Lepidosauria; Squamata; Lacertidae.
GCAAUAGCUCUAUGGACUCUCAUUAAAGCAUGAGACUCAAUCUCAGGGUUGUGGGUUCAAGCCCCACGUUGGGCA